Molecule: long non-coding RNA, 504 nt
Organism: Tetranychus urticae (two-spotted spider mite)
Lineage: Eukaryota; Metazoa; Arthropoda; Arachnida; Trombidiformes; Tetranychidae
Source: RefSeq, a predicted model, not a curated record
AUGUAAAUACUGGAAAGGAAAGAAAGAAAGAAAAGUCAAAUCAAAGUCAUAUUUGAUUAUCCUGAAUCAGUUGUAAUAAGUUUUGAUUAACUGAAGGACAAAAUAAGCAAUAAGCUCAAUAAAUUGGGGACUUAAAUUGGUAAGGCCAAUUGAUUUAAGAGUCACACACAUGUAAUUGUUACAUUAACAAACCUGCGCCACUUGAUCAUUACCAAUCAUAAGUGUAAUACAAAAGUGGUGAUUAGCAUUGAUAUUGAUGACAAAUUUGGCUUUACCAAGAACACACUCAAAGCUCCACUGAUGAAAAGCUUCAUGAAAAAUGAAAUUAUCUUGAUGGGGAUAAAUCAGUUGAUAAUGAAUUUAUCAAAUUUAUAAGUUCCAAACCACAUUGUGGGCUGAUUUGCUUCGGAAUCAAUUGAAUGACACGAAUCCACGGGUGAAUGUGAUGUUUCAGAGGUGAGACGCAUGAGAUCAGUUUCCUCUAUUAGCGAUGAUUCACUUUCC